This 527-nucleotide ribosomal RNA is filed under the name Streptocaulus dollfusi. RNAcentral describes it as "partial 16S ribosomal RNA". It matches the Rfam family "Bacterial large subunit ribosomal RNA", at positions 1854 to 2559 of the family's 2925-position model. The record is from RNAcentral. Lineage: Eukaryota; Metazoa; Cnidaria; Hydrozoa; Leptothecata; Aglaopheniidae.
GAUGCCUGCCCAAUGGUUAAAAAUUUAUUUGAAAAGAAUAAAAAAGAAAUUAAAUGGCUGCAGUAACCAUAACUGUAAGAAUGUAGCAUAAUCAUUUGCCACUUAAUUAGUGGAUAGAAUGAAUGGCCAAACGAGAAUCCCACUGUCUUAUAAAACUAAAAUAAAAUUAAAAUAAUAGUGAAGAUGCUAUUUAAAAUUGUAAGACGAAAAGACCCUACAAAGCUUAACUAUAUUCUAUUAUUAAAUAUCUAAAGAUAAUUAUUAAAAGAAAGGUAGUUUCGUUGGGGAGACGGUCUUUCAAAAGUAACAAAGACAAGCUAAAUCAAAAAUAAUUUUAAAAUUUACUGCCUAAUAAAUAAAUUUUACAGUUACAAAGUAGGCUAUAAUGACCCAUUGAAAAAAAGAUUAAUCAAUGAAUAAUAAAUAAAAGCUACUUUAGGGAUAACAGAGUAAUUUAAUUUAAGAGCCCUUAUCUAGGAUUAAGUUUACCACCUCGAUGUUGAAUUAAGGUGUCCAAGUAGAGCAAA